Long non-coding RNA from Gorilla gorilla gorilla (western lowland gorilla), 420 nucleotides. RefSeq lists it as uncharacterized. The transcript is spliced from 3 exons. Lineage: Eukaryota; Metazoa; Chordata; Mammalia; Primates; Hominidae. The record is from RefSeq and is a predicted model, not a curated record.
UAAGCCCUACCUUAGGGCAUGCCAGGAGCCUGCUGGAGGUGUCAGUGUUACUGGAAAAGAAGCCCAACCCAGACCCCAAGAGAAGGUUCUUGGAACUCGUACAAGAAAGAAUUCUGGGAGGUGCUGGCCAUUCCAGGUACCAUGAGGCCAAUGAAAUCAAUGUUCUGUCCUUUCCUUCAUGGUACUGACUGAAGAUCUUUAUCUGAUGUGUUGGAUCACAGGCACAGGCAGGGACAAGAGACAGCUUCUACACAUGUCCCAGCCUCUGCUUCACUGGGAACAGGAAGUUGCUCUGAAGUAGACCCCUGAGCAACACAGGUAUAUGAGGAUUUUCCUCCGCCUCGGCCACCCCUGAGACAGCAAGAUCAAUCCUUCCUCUUCCUCCUCUUCCUCCACCUCCUCAAUGUGAAGAUGAUGAGA